This 253-nucleotide ribosomal RNA is filed under the name uncultured bacterium. RNAcentral describes it as "partial 16S ribosomal RNA". It matches the Rfam family "Bacterial small subunit ribosomal RNA", at positions 524 to 776 of the family's 1533-position model. The record is from RNAcentral.
UACAGAGGGUGCAAGCGUCAAUCGGAUUUACUGGGCGUAAAGCGUGCGUAGGCGGUUUGUUAAGUCGGAUGUGAAAGCCCUGGGCUCAACCUGGGAACUGCAUUCGAUACUGACAGGCUAGAGAACGGUAGAGGGAGGCGGAAUUCCGGGUGUAGCAGUGAAAUGCGUAGAUAUCCGGAGGAACGCCGAUGGCGAAGGCAACCUCCCGGGCCUGUUCUGACGCUGAGGCACGAAAGCGUGGGUAGCAAACAGG